RNAcentral lists this ribosomal RNA (497 nucleotides) under uncultured bacterium. RNAcentral describes it as "partial 16S ribosomal RNA". It matches the Rfam family "Bacterial small subunit ribosomal RNA", at positions 28 to 507 of the family's 1533-position model. The record is from RNAcentral.
GACGAACGCUGGCGGCGUGCCUAAUACAUGCAAGUUGAGCGCUGAAGGUUGGUACUUGUACCAACUGGAUGAGCAGCGCACGGGUGAGUAACGCGUGGGGAAUCUGCCUUUGAGCGGGGGACAACAUUUGGAAACGAAUGCUAAUACCGCAUAAAAACUUUAAACACAAGUUUUAAGUUUGAAAGAUGCAAUUGCAUCACUCAAAGAUGAUCCCGCGUUGUAUUAGCUAGUUGGUGAGGUAAGGGCUCACCAAGGCGAUGAUACAUAGCCGACCUGAGAGGGUGAUCGGCCACAUUGGGACUGAGACACGGCCCAAACUCCUACGGGAGGCAGCAGUAGGGAAUCUUCGGCAAUGGACGAAAGUCUGACCGAGCAACGCCGCGUGAGUGAAGAAGGUUUUCGGAUCGUAAAACUCUGUUGGUAGAGAAGAACGUUGGUGAGAGUGGAAAGCUCAUCAAGUGACGGUAACUACCCAGAAAGGGACGGCUAACUACGUG